RNAcentral lists this small RNA (26 nucleotides) under Bombyx mori (domestic silkworm). RNAcentral describes it as "ovarian small RNA-16843". The record is from RNAcentral. Lineage: Eukaryota; Metazoa; Arthropoda; Insecta; Lepidoptera; Bombycidae.
GCGAUAGAUGGCGUUACUUUUACCGG